GAUGAACGCUAGCGGCAGGCUUAAUACAUGCAAGUCGUGGGGCAGCAUGGGGUAGCAAUACUCUGAUGGCGACCGGCAAACGGGUGCGGAACACGUACGCAACCUUCCCAAAACUGGUGAAUAGCCCUCCGAAAGGAGGAUUAAUACACCGUAACAUAACGAAGUGGCAUCACUUUGUUAUUAUAGCUCCGGCGGUUUUGGAUGGGCGUGCGCCUGAUUAGGUAGUUGGCGGGGUAACGGCCCACCAAGCCUACGAUCAGUAACUGGUGUGAGAGCACGACCAGUCACACGGGCACUGAGACACGGGCCCGACUCCUACGGGAGGCAGCAGUAAGGAAUAUUGGUCAAUGGACGCAAGUCUGAACCAGCCAUGCCGCGUGAAGGAUGAAGGUCCUCUGGAUUGUAAACUUCUUUUAUCUGGGACGAAAAAAGGGCUUUCUAGCUCACUUGACGGUACCAGAGGAAUAAGCACCGGCUAACUCCGUGCCAGCAGCCGCGGUAAUGCUACG
RNAcentral lists this ribosomal RNA (509 nucleotides) under uncultured bacterium. RNAcentral describes it as "bacterial SSU rRNA". It matches the Rfam family "Bacterial small subunit ribosomal RNA", at positions 28 to 527 of the family's 1533-position model. The record is from RNAcentral.